AUUGAACGCUGGCGGCAUGAUUUACACAUGCAAGUCGAACGGUAACAGGCCGCACGGUUCUGACGAGUGGCGAACGGGUGAGUAAUGCAUCGGAACGUGCCCAGUCGUGGGGGAUAACUACUCGCAAGAGUAGCUAAUACCUCAUACGAUCUAUGGAUGAAAGCGGGGGACCGUAAGUCCUCGCGCGAUUGGAGCGGCCGAUGUCAGAUUAGGUAGUUGGUGGGGUAAAGGCUCACCAAGCCAACGAUCUGUAGCUGGUCUGAGAGGACGACCAGCCACACUGGGACUGAGAAACGGCCCAGACUCCUACGGGAGGCAGCAGUGGGGAAUUUUGGACAAUGGGCGCAAGCCUGAUCCAGCAAUGCCGCGUGCAGGAAGAAGGCCUUCGGGUUGUAAACUGCUUUUGUACGGAACGAAACGGCUCUGGUUAAUACCCGGGGCUAAUGACGGUACCGUAAGAAUAAGCACCGGCUAACUACGUG
RNAcentral lists this ribosomal RNA (482 nucleotides) under uncultured bacterium. Its description in RNAcentral is "partial 16S ribosomal RNA". It matches the Rfam family "Bacterial small subunit ribosomal RNA", at positions 30 to 507 of the family's 1533-position model. The record is from RNAcentral.